Molecule: long non-coding RNA, 1235 nt
Organism: Polistes canadensis
Lineage: Eukaryota; Metazoa; Arthropoda; Insecta; Hymenoptera; Vespidae
Exons: 5
Source: RefSeq, a predicted model, not a curated record
UCAUAUCUCUUUUAUGAUACUUGCUAUAAAAUGAGAAAAAAAACAGGGGGAGCUUUUAUAUGGGCAAUUAGGUAAUCUCAUGAUGUCGUGUUUUUAUCCACAUUGACACGAUCUCAGAAGAGUUUUUUAAUGGCCAUCGCGAAUGUGUCAUUUGGAUUAAAAAAAUAGACAUAGAAAGUAAGAGAGAGAGAGAGAGAGAAUAUGCUUGUCGUAGUCGAUCGAUGACGUGCCUCUUUGCUAAGUUUACAAUAGAAAAGAAAAAAGAAAUCAAUAGGCCAAUGUCGUACCGCAUAAUCAACUUUUAUGCAAAGUAAAAGAGAAAAAGAAGAUUCUUGUUUGUUAUUAUUAUUAAUGUCAAGUGUAAAAUUUAUCAUUUUCGUAAUCCAUUUUAUUCUUACAGAUAGAUUAUAAAUUAAAAAUAUUGAAAGAAAGAAGAGAAAGAAAUAAAACGGCCAGAAAUGUACGAAGUUUAAACGCUUUAUAUCAGAAAAAGAAAAGAAAGAAGGUCUUACCUCGUUGAAAAAAACUAAUUCCUGUACGAUCAUUAAAAUUAAGCAACGAUAAGCACGAUCAGUAUUCGGAUAGGUGACUGCUCGGAAACAUCAUUUACUAUUGACUCCAGAGAGAUGAUAAGACGGUUUCUAUGGAAAGGUGAGGGGGCUGUUUUUAGAAGUAUACACACACAAACGUAAAAACAACAAGUGUGGCAGCUUUACUAUCGCAGAAAUAUUUGAUAUUUAUUUCUCCAUACUUCUAUAUACUUCUCUAUACUGGAAAGGCUAUUUUUUAUGACGGUUUACGUGAUACAGGAUUUGCAGAGUGACCCAGAUUCCUAAGAAGAUAUUUGAAUUACGACUAGUUGGACGAAUUGUGCUUUAUCAUUUGUCUCCUGUUGUCUCUUUUUUUUUUCUUCCAUGUGCUUCUUUCUAACUCUUUUGAUAUAGAAGAUACAAGUAUACAUCGGAAGCAAUGCCGUACGAUUUUGCUUUUCGCUAAAAGUUCGAGAAGAUCCGUUUGAGAUGGCUUCGUAGAAGAAUCCCUUUGUACGAAAGGCGAACUCCGAUGAUUUAUCAAACAUAAAAGAGCGUGAAACUUGUAUACAUGAUUCGGAUAUUUCUAUCGAACACAACUGUUUGUAGAUAUGUGUGUAUGUUUUGAGCAUGGGAAUGCUAUACUAUGCAAUGUAUAAUAAUCGUUUCAUAUACUCUCGGCUCUUUUGAACAUUAAAGCCUACA